Molecule: long non-coding RNA, 393 nt
Filed under: Pan troglodytes (chimpanzee)
Lineage: Eukaryota; Metazoa; Chordata; Mammalia; Primates; Hominidae
Description: long non-coding RNA NONPTRT015783
Source: RNAcentral
CAAGAGUAGGGAGUGAAGAGAAAUGUGGAAGCUCAGCACCUCUGUGCCCCAAGAAUGAUGAUGAAGUGGCGUCAUUUGUCUGGAGUAAUACCCAAGAUUCGUUGCCUCACGCCAAGGAAAUCAAGAAGCUCCUGUAUCAAUGACAGAAGGGAUCUUUCUUCUCCCUCCCUCUUUUCCACACCUGGGUGCAUCUACCUGGUUUGGGGGAGGGUGAGCGACACAAGGAACAAAGGUUGAGAAGGAAUCAGCAGAAGAAAAGGCUCAGAACUGAAAACAAAGCAUCUUCCACAGAGUCAAAUAUAACAGCACAGGGCCUAGGAUACUGUGUGACCUAGAGAAAAGGGAGCAAAGCCAGCCUUGGGCCCAUCUUUCCGCAGAAAUCUGGAAGAAACA